This is a long non-coding RNA of Panicum virgatum (switchgrass), 463 nucleotides long. RefSeq lists it as uncharacterized. The transcript has 3 exons. NCBI's taxonomy places the organism in Eukaryota, Viridiplantae, Streptophyta, Magnoliopsida, Poales, Poaceae. The record is from RefSeq and is a predicted model, not a curated record.
UCAAACAAUAUUGCGGCCGGAAGAUCUGUUCAUGUUGCAUGCAACAUCAAACAAUGCUGCGGCCGGAAUUUUCUCUCUAGUCGUACUGUCCGAUAGCGGCGUCCAGAUUGGACGUCCGGGCCCUAGCAGCUCCAAUAAUCAAACGACUAAUGUUAGUUUUGCUCUGGCUGUAGGAACUACUUACUCCGGGAUCCAUACGUGUCCAUACCUGUGGAUGCCAUCGUGGGGACUCUUAGGGUCUUGAUUGAUGUAAGGAACCACCCAGUAUUAAUCCACUGCAAAAGGGAUCAGCAAGACUAGGAAGGUGUUUGGUUGUGGUAAGAACCUAAAGCAUUUGUUAUGCUUUGUUUAUGUUUACCUGAUGUAUGGCCUUCAUCUCUUGUAUGAACUGCUGCAUUUUCUGCUUUGUUUACAAGAUGCAAUAAUGCUUUGCCUAAGAAAGCCAUGCAGUACCUUAUUAGUC